AACGCACCUUGCGCUCCUUGGUAUUCCGAGGAGCAUGCCUGUUUGAGUGUCAUGGUAUUCUCAAUUCCUUCAGUUUUUGCUGGAGUGAUAUUGGAUUUGGAGGUUAUUGUUGGCAGUCAUUGAUAUGUCAGCUCCUCUUAAAUAUAUCAGUGUGAAUGUUCACUUUGCACUCAGUGUGAUAAUUAUCUACACUGUGUGUGAGUGAUAUAAUUUUACGCUUCUAACUGUCGCAAGACAACACUUUGACUUUCUGACCUCAAAUCAGGUAGGAUUACCCGCUGAACUUAA
RNAcentral lists this unclassified non-coding RNA (288 nucleotides) under uncultured fungus. Its description in RNAcentral is "sequence contains ITS2". The stretch from base 1 to 52 matches the Rfam family "5.8S ribosomal RNA", at positions 103 to 154 of the family's 154-position model. Lineage: Eukaryota; Fungi. The record is from RNAcentral.